This 490-nucleotide ribosomal RNA is filed under the name uncultured bacterium. RNAcentral's name for it is "partial 16S ribosomal RNA". It matches the Rfam family "Bacterial small subunit ribosomal RNA", at positions 30 to 507 of the family's 1533-position model. The record is from RNAcentral.
AUUGAACGCUGGCGGCAGGCCUAACACAUGCAAGUCGAAUGGUAACAGGAAACAGCUUGCUGUUUCGCUGACGAGUGGCGGACGGGUGAGUAAUGUCUGGGAAACUGCCUGAUGGAGGGGGAUAACUACUGGAAACGGUAGCUAAUACCGCAUAACGUCGCAAGACCAAAGAGGGGGACCUUCGGGCCUCUUGCCAUCAGAUGCGCCCAGAUGGGAUUAGCUAGUAGGUGGGGUAACGGCUCACCUAGGCGACGAUCCCUAGCUGGUCUGAGAGGAUGACCAGCCACACUGGAACUGAGACACGGUCCAGACUCCUACGGGAGGCAGCAGUGGGGAAUAUUGCACAAUGGGCGCAAGCCUGAUGCAGCCAUGCCGCGUGUAUGAAGAAGGCCUUCGGGUUGUAAAGUACUUUCAGCGGGGAGGAAGGGAGUAAAGUUAAUACCUUUUCUCAUUGACGUUACCCGCAGAAGAAGCACCGGCUAACUCCGUG